This 75-nucleotide transfer RNA is filed under the name candidate division WS1 bacterium. Its description in RNAcentral is "tRNA-Ile". It matches the Rfam family "tRNA". From Rfam's summary of the family: Transfer RNA (tRNA) molecules are approximately 80 nucleotides in length. Their secondary structure includes four short double-helical elements and three loops (D, anti-codon, and T loops). RNAcentral also lists the same sequence under 2 other names. The record is from RNAcentral. Lineage: Bacteria; Bacillati.
GGGCCCGUAGCUCAGCGGUAGAGCAGUCGGCUCAUAACCGAUCGGUCGCUGGUUCGAAUCCGGCCGGGCCCACCA